GUUUCCUAACGAAGAAACAUUUGUGAAAGAGAAGGAAGCGACUUUGUUGCGUUGGAAUUCUCGCCUAAAAAUGGAUGUGCACAUUUCGAAGCUUUCACAUGUUUAUGAUUAUGUUUAUGUUGUAUGAUUUUGGCACAUCUGUGGACAUGAGACAUUUGGAAUCCAAGAGGCCUUUGAGGAACCAAGAGGACAAAGGUCUGGGUGACAUUGCCAAACUGGAUACUCCAUGACAUGCAUCUCCCCGUGAGCAUUUUCAUUCUGAGACCAGACAAAUGAAAUAUUAGAGAAACAUGUUCUUUUUUAUCUUCUCAUUACUGUGGAAAAAAGAAGGGAAAUGAGCCCUCAUGAGUAGUCAAGAGGUAGAGCUUUGGAUUCUGCAGCUCCAUGCUCUAUCACUAAGCCAACAAUACAUGUAUAAUUUUCCAUUGUGUUGCACUUGCUCAAAAGUCAAAUUAAUCACAGCAAGCAACCAAUGUAAAAUAGAAUUUUAUGGCAAAUUAAUAAUUACGUAAAGUCAACUCAGUUAAAAGCUGGGAUUAUGUGUAUGUAAGGCAGCUUUGGGUCUACAUGUUGACCAAGUGUCAGUUAAUACCCUCAUCAGCUGAUACAAGAAGUUUAUAACCCCGUUUUAGGUCAAAAGCUCUUGCUGAUAAUAAAUCCGAGUUGUUGGUAAUGUAUCAGCCAAGUUCUAGCCGCAUGUAUCAUUUAUUGUACAUGGCGCACCUUAUGGGGCAAAAUUUAAACUCAUACUGGGCCAUAAUAUCCAGAUUUACCUUUCUGCUGUGAUAUUGCAAGAGGCAGAUUAUCCUUAAUUUUACUAAUUAUCCAUUUUCAAUGUUUCUUUUACAUGGAAAUAUAGCUCUAUACCCAAGGUUGUGCAAUUCUGGUAACUCACUGUUUCAGAUUUUAAAUUUAUUUAUUUUGCAACUUCUAUUUCAACUCUUGGCAAAGUUACCAGCUGCUGUCAAAUAUUUGUUUUUGCAUGCCAUCAUUUUCUCAACUUCAUUGGAAACUGAUAUGAGAAACCAAGGCAGGAAAAUGAAAUGGAUAAAUUUGUAUUGUUUGCAUCAAAAAUCCAGAUUAAAAGUGUUGAAAAAUUGGGA
Molecule: long non-coding RNA, 1103 nt
Organism: Stylophora pistillata
Lineage: Eukaryota; Metazoa; Cnidaria; Anthozoa; Scleractinia; Pocilloporidae
Source: RefSeq, a predicted model, not a curated record